This 359-nucleotide ribosomal RNA is filed under the name uncultured bacterium. RNAcentral's name for it is "partial 16S ribosomal RNA". It matches the Rfam family "Bacterial small subunit ribosomal RNA", at positions 355 to 706 of the family's 1533-position model. The record is from RNAcentral.
UGGGGAAUAUUGGACAAUGGGCGAAAGCCUGAUCCAGCCAUGCCGCGUGUGUGAAGAAGGUCUUCGGAUUGUAAAGCACUUUAAGUUGGGAGGAAGGGCAGUAAAUUAAUACUUUGCUGUUUUGACGUUACCGACAGAAUAAGCACCGGCUAACUCUGUGCCAGCAGCCGCGGUAAUACAGAGGGUGCAAGCGUUAAUCGGAAUUACUGGGCGUAAAGCGCGCGUAGGUGGUUUGUUAAGUUGGAUGUGAAAUCCCCGGGCUCAAACUGGGAACUGCAUUCAAAACUGACUGACUAGAGUAUGGUAGAGGGUGGUGGAAUUUCCUGUGUAGCGGUGAAAUGCGUAGAUAUAGGAAGGAA